CUGCCUGCAAAACGGGGAAACCUCCGGGAAACCGGAGCUAAUACCGGAUAGUAUCUUGAACCGCAUGGUUCAAGCUGGAAAGACGGUUUCGGCUGUCACUUACAGAUGGGCCCGCGGCGCAUUAGCUAGUUGGUGAGGUAAUGGCUCACCAAGGCAACGAUGCGUAGCCGACCUGAGAGGGUGAUCGGCCACACUGGGACUGAGACACGGCCCAGACUCCUACGGGAGGCAGCAGUAGGGAAUCUUCCGCAAUGGACGAAAGUCUGACGGAGCAACGCCGCGUGAGUGAUGAAGGUUUUCGGAUCGUAAAACUCUGUUGUUAGGGAAGAACAAGUGCGAGAGUAACUGCUCGCACCUUGACGGUACCUAACCAGAAAGCCACGGCUAACUACGUGCCAGCAGCCGCGGUAAUACGUAGGUGGCAAGCGUUGUCCGGAAUUAUUGGGCGUAAAGCGCGCGCAGGCGGUUUCUUAAGUCUGAUGUGAAAGCCCCCGGCUCAACCGGGGAGGGUCAUUGGAAACUGGGAAACUUGAGUGCAGAAGAGGAGAGUGGAAUUCCACGUGUAGCGGUGAAAUGCGUAGAGAUGUGGAGGAACACCAGUGGCGAAGGCGACUCUCUGGUCUGUAACUGACGCUGAGGCGCGAAAGCGUGGGGAGCGAACAGGAUUAGAUACCCUGGUAGUCCACGCCGUAAACGAUGAGUGCUAAGUGUUAGAGGGUUUCCGCCCUUUAGUGCUGCAGCUAACGCAUUAAGCACUCCGCCUGGGGAGUACGGUCGCAAGACUGAAACUCAAA
Molecule: ribosomal RNA, 794 nt
Filed under: Bacillus sp. FS-YC6702
Lineage: Bacteria; Bacillati; Bacillota; Bacilli; Caryophanales; Bacillaceae
Description: bacterial SSU rRNA
Rfam family: Bacterial small subunit ribosomal RNA
Source: RNAcentral